RNAcentral lists this ribosomal RNA (254 nucleotides) under uncultured bacterium. RNAcentral's name for it is "partial 16S ribosomal RNA". It matches the Rfam family "Bacterial small subunit ribosomal RNA", at positions 524 to 776 of the family's 1533-position model. The record is from RNAcentral.
UACGAGUGCCUCAAGCGUUAUCCGGAAUCAUUGGGCGUAAAGGGUGUGUAGGUGGUCGUAUUAGUCUCUCGUUAAAUUCUUCGGCUUAACCGGGGGCAUGCGGGGGAAACGGUACGACUAGAGGAUGCAAGGGGUCUGCGGAACUCAUGAGUGUAGCGGUGAAAUGCGUUGAUAUUAUGGGGAACACCAAAAGCGAAGGCAGCAGACUAGGGCACUCCUGACACUGAAACACGAAAGCGUGGGUAGCGAAUGGG